Molecule: non-coding RNA, 8593 nt
Organism: Oryctolagus cuniculus (rabbit)
Lineage: Eukaryota; Metazoa; Chordata; Mammalia; Lagomorpha; Leporidae
Source: RefSeq, a predicted model, not a curated record
UCAUGCUCCCCAUGUAGGAUCUCUGUCCUUAAUGUGUUUAACUAUGAAACUCAAAAACAACACUACUAGUCGAACAACACCCUAUGCCUGGUUCGGUUGUGUGAGUGCAGCCUGUUGAAAUUCCUGCUUAGUAUAUACUAAGUUGAUCUUCAAUAUAUGAAGCUCCUCUUGAGGUGAUGGACUAGGAGGAGCUGCUAGCAUCAUCGUCAACUGGGAAUUCCACUCCUUGCUCCUUGAAGACAUCAGCAGAUGGAGACCCAUUGAUGGCAAGUAUUCUGUCUCCCAAGGUCCUCCAGCUUUGAGCUCCUCGUAGGAAGACCACGCCUGGGGAACACUGUACAGUACUUGAACUUUGGGGAUCUUUCUUUCAUUGAGAAAGGGGCCUGAGUGAGAAAGGGAAGGGAAAAUGCAUGUGGUAUCCCAAUUGUCAUGCCCCAACAGGCCUCGUUAUAAGCUCCACCAAGCUGUCAAGUGGGGUAGCCCACCCAAAAUCUGUGAACUGGGAUCAAGCAAGAGCAGGGCUGCAGGGCACAAGCAAACUUCAUGAGAAGGUGGCCAGGCUCCCAUGCCACUGCCUCCGUUGCUUCUGCUCUGCUCCCUCAUCUCUUACUGUUGGAUCACAUGCAAGAGAUCUCUAUGACCAACUGGUGGGAGUUACGAGCCCGCUUAAGCUCGUAUAGGUCGGCUUGGUAUACAGGAGAAAAUGGGCCAAAAUGAAUGGAUAAGUGAGGGGACGGUGAAGAACUCUCUGGCCUGGGUGGAGGGUUCAGAGUGGGCAGCAGGGAGAACCAUGGCCAGAAAGGCAUGUUGGGACUGGGGGCUGGGCCAGGUGGAAACAGGCCCUGGCAGAGGACCUUGCGUUAGAGAUUCUCCUUUGGUUAUUUCACACAUUUUUGUGGACUUAGCACCAUCAUCACUAAUUACGUGUAUAAUUACUGCCUCGACAUCUGUCCAUCCUGGUAGGGAAUGACCUCCAAGAGCCCAGAGAGCUUGCCAGUCUCACUCAUGGAGCAAGACCCUGAAUGUAGCUGGAUCUGGUGAAUAGUCAGUGAUUGGAUGAGGAAGGGGUUUUGUGUAAGCAGAUGUGCUCCCAGAUAUAGGCCUUAUUGGAGGAGCUACCCAAAAACUCCUUUCUGAGAAAAAAGGACAUCAGAUUGAGGGCUGGGGGUUAUGGAGAGAUAGUAAAGACAGCUUUCAAUUCGGGACCUGGAAGUUGGCCUGAGAGAGGCCCUAAGCAUCCAAGCUGCACACUGGUUCUCCCUGAUCUUCAGAACCCAUCAGUUCCUACCAGCUGUCAUCCAGGGAUAGUCACCUCAUCUCUCUUUGCAUCAGUUACAUCGUGAAGUGGGGAUAGUGACCCCUAUCUUAGGACGUGAUGCAUAUGCCGCACCAAUGUGCCUGACUCAGACCAAGGGAUCCAUAAGCAGUACAUUUUACAUUUGCCAAGAUCAGACUGGGAUGAUAUGACAUGGAAGGAAGAGGCAGAGCCGAGGGACACUGUGAUCAAAGAAUGCAUAGUGUUUGAUGGAUUGUAAGAGAGGGGGUGUGAAGUCGAGGGACCGUGGGCACCUGUGCUCCUGCAGUAUGCCCCUGAUUGGAAGCUGCUGUCAGCAAGGCACACGGAAGCUCUGGGCUCCAGGUACCACGGCACCAAUGGCAGAGGCCAGCUUGGAAGUCAGAGGACAUAGAGACAAGGAGAAGAGGAACAGAAUCAUCCAGCUACUCUAUAAUCAGCUUAUGAGUCGUGGAAUUUGAUGUGAGCGCGUUAGUAAUGUCACAUAUGACUAUGUGGGUUUUCAGCCUAUUUUUCUUAAAUGCGAAUUGUGUUGGCAACCGAAUGCGUGCUAACACCCUAAGAUUUAGUUACAUUUUGGUUAAGAAGUCCAGAAGACUUUGGACUUGGCUUUGAAACAUUGAAAGUGAAUUGAAUUUGCAUUAUUUAAGUGGCUUAUUCAGAUUAACACUGCUAUCUCUUCUGAUUUAAGAACCCAAAGAUUUGAUAUUUCAGCAGCAACAAUGACACCUAGGGGUUGGUUUCUCCAGGUUUAAUCUUAGAUUUAGAUCCUGUACGUUUUGAAAAAUAAGAGUGCCAACACACGGGUGCAAUCCAAAGUGUCCCUGUGGACUUGGUUGCUGGCCAGGAGAACACUGACACAUCAAAGAAAGGAAAAGGCUGGAAGUGGCUUCUAAGAAAAUUGUUUUCCUUCUCAACUUGUAACACCUCUCAGUUUGCUUAAUGUACCUGACCUUUGAACCAGCAAUGUGGCAUCCUUUGCAGAUUUCCCAUCGGAUCCUCAGCUAGUCUGUGUGUGGAUAGGAGAGCCUCCUUCCUUGCAUGGAGAAGCACUCAGGCCUUGGGCCAGCUACUUCUAGUUCUCUCCCUCCUUUGAGGAGCUAGUGGAACAAGUAUUUGGUGAUUCACCUCAUCCCCUCCGUGUAUUUUUAUUGGAGACUUGAGCAACUCCUUGACCUUAUGACUUUGACCUUUAGACUCCGGGCAACCUUUGGUCUGUUGUCAGUUAACUAACAGUAUUGAUUGAGAACCUCCUGGGUCCUCAAUGCAUGUGGAGUGUGUGUGUGUGUGUGUGUGUGUGUGUAUGUAUGUUCCCUACUGGGUUUAGGCGAGAAUGAGGGGAAUCUGAAAGGAAAUGCACAAGGGUCCAGUCCAUGGAAAACAUGCCAUUUAUUUAUUUAUUUAUUUUUACAGAUCUAUUUAUUUAUUUGAAAGGCGGCGUCACACACACACACAGAAAGAGAGAGAGAGAGAUUGAGACCUUUUAUAUGCUGGUUCACUCCCCAAAUGGCCAAUAUGGCUGGGGCUGGGGGCCAAGUUGAAGCUAGUAGCUUGGAACUCCAUCUGGUUCCCCCAGGGGCCAAAGUACCUGGGCCAUCUUCUACUGCCUUAUAACCCAUGCGAGGUCAUCCCAUCCACACCCAGUGAGGAUCCCCACAUUUGUGGCAGUCCCUGGGCAGCCGCUAGACCCCAUCUCACCCACAUGUUUGUCGUUAAUCUCAAAGUGGAUGCAAAAUUCAGGCCCUGGAUUUCAACGCCUGUAAAAAGGCUUCUGCUAACCAAGGGUCGAGGAUAUGCUUGUGUCUUUCCAGAGAAUGCAGGACAGCCCAUUUGGGUACCAGCCAGAAACAUCAAGCCUGCAACUGACAGCCAACCAGAACCAGCUGAACAAGACCGAGAGUCAGCCUUGUUAGCAGACGCACCUGCCCUAUCAUCCUACCCUGAGGAACUGCCCAUAGCCACAUCCUCUACUGCUUUAUACCCCACUAGCUCUGGUCAGCCACUCAAAUGGCCCACAGCCUGUGUGUGGUCACGCCAUUCCUGAUAACCAUUGUUCCUCAUUCCUACCCGAUCUGAGCAAGCACACCUGUGGUCUCCCGUUUUGAGUGCUGGUUAGUCAACGACAGGUAAGAUCCCCUGGGGGACAACCUAAGACAGGCACAGCUGUGUACGGAGACCACACGGAAACGGGGUCAACAAUGGUGCAGCCAAGAAUCAUGCCUUCCAUUGCUAAAAAAUAAACAAAAAAGGGGAAAUGUGGUGCAAAGAGAAGGCCAUGCCAAGACGGCCACUGACAACAGAGUCUGCCUGGCAACAGGCUGUGAUUGGAUGGCUUCGGAAACUGCCUGGCAACAGGCUGUGAUUGGUUAGAGCAUAGACCACCCCAUGACCGGGUUGGCUGCCUUGGCUAUAUAAGCUGCUGUAGCAACUGAAAUGAGUCUGCAAGCUGCUCGCCUCAGGCCUGCUUUCACCCGACUCCCGGGGUCUGUGUGGUGACUCUGCGCCUCUUGCCCCCACCACGCUGCUCCUCUCAGAACGAAUCCACCUCGACACCCAGGAAGGGAGCUGGGUCAGAAGUAGAGCAGCCAGGAGUCCAACUUGUGCUCCAAAAUGGAAGCCAGUGUUGCAAGCUUCAGCCUAUCCUGCUGUGCUACAGUACCAAUCCAUGCAGUUUAUUUAGAGCACACCAAACUUAACAUGAAAUAACCCGUUCAUGAAAACAUCUGUGAGCAUGCAGGAACAACGCAUCAAGAUUCAGAUGAUGUUUCAAUGUCCUCUUAACAUGAAAAUCCUGUGAUUGGGGGGCGGAUUACAAUUAGCACUCUCCCAUGCCGUUACACAAUGAUCAUGUCGGCACUAUACUAUUUUUUUUGUUUGUUUUAGUGAGGCUGAUGCAAGAUGGACCAGAUCUCUGUGAGUGACUGUGAACUGACUUUUGGCAUUACAGCCUUGGAUGUUUGCUUCUAGAUAUUUGUAGAUAUGUAUAGGAUUAGCUGAUGAUGGUGAGACCCGGCCAAGCUCUCCUAUAGUGAGGAUGUGUGCCUGGAUUAUUCUGAUUAUCUUAAGAUAGGCCAGAAAAUCCUUUUUGUUUUAAUCCCGCUGUUGAUCUUUCUUUUUCUGUCUUGAGUGUGUAGGUCCAGUUUCCUGACUUGGCAAGUGUAGGGUGCAGAAUUGAUGGAUACCAGAUGGUCCAUUUCAUCUUCUAAAUAACCCUUGAACUUUCCAUUUCUGAAGGUAUCUAAAUGUCUUCAAUGGCUUCUAAUAACAAUCCAGACCUUUGCCCAGCCUUGCUGUCCAGCCUGAUGUCCCUGGCCACUCCUAGCCUCAGCCCCAUCAUACCUGCCCAUCCCCACCCAUCUGCAUUUUGGUUGCCAGGCAGCACCAAGCUCCCUCCCUCUUCCCGCUCACUCCCCAUGUGAUUACCCCCUUACUCUUCCUAUAGGUCUUAACAAAGGGGAUAUUUUCUCUUGGAAGACUUCCCUGAUCUGUGUGACCUGGUUAUGUCCCUUUACUGUCCCUUAGUACUUUGUGACCUUUUGUUCACAGCUUUUUAUGAUGCUAUGGUUUGUUUGUGUCACCGCUGACUCCAUGCCAGUCCCCUCACCAUACUCCUAGGAGUCUGUGAAGUCAUCCACCUUGUUGGGCUAGCAUAGUGCUUAGCACUAGUAGAUGAUAAUGAAUUAAAAACAAUAGUGAAUGAAUGAACGAAUGAGUGUAAUGGAGUUUGUCUUCAACUCCAUAUCAGAUCAUUCUGUUUAAUUGUGUAAAACAGAGAACUGAAUGGUAGGAAACAUGGUGACAUUUAGGUGGGUUGUAGGACCCAUUGAAGAAAUUGUGAUAGAAAUACAUCUUAAUUGAUGCUCAUGGAUAUAAGUGUCAAGUAUAGAAGGUUCCAAUUACUUGCGUUGUCUUAUUAGUCAAAGGCAUGCUUGCUUUUUUUUUUUUUUUUUGAUAGGCAGAGUGGAUAGUGAGAGAGAGAGACCGAGAGAAAGGUCUUCCUUUUGCCGUUGGUUCACCCUCCAAUGGCCGCCACGGCUGGCGCACUGCGGCCGGCGCACUGCGCUGAUCUGAAGGCAGGAGCCAGGUACUUAUCCUGGUCUCCCAUGGGGUGCAGGGCCCGAGCACUUGGGCCAUUCUCCACUGCCUUCCCUGGCCACAGCAGAGAGCUGGCCUGGAAGAGGGGCAACCAGGACAGAAUCUGGCACCCUGACCGGGACUAGAACCCGGUGUGCUGGCGCCGCUAGGUGGAGGAUUAGCCUAUUGAGCUGCGGCGCCAGCCCCCUGCUUGUAUUUUAAUAAUGAAAUGAUGUAGAACCACAGGGCACCUGCUAUGGCCAUGUUUGCACUGAGGGAGAGGUUCAUCUGCUUCAGCUGAGAAUUCUUGUAGUCCAAACUCUUGGCAAAGUCCAAGAAAUGGGGGCUGCAUCUCACAGCUGUAGGGAAGACGUGCGUUCCCCUCUUUUGGAAGGACUUUGCUGAACACCAUUCGUUUCACUCACCUUGGAUUCAGAAUAGCCUUGAUUUUUAUCUCUAAGACAGAGAUUAUCAAGAGAAAUCUUAAUUUGGAGCAGAAAUUUGUUAAGUUGUAUUCUACUUUGUAAGAAAAAAAUAAACUCAAGGGAAUAUAGUGAUAGUGUUAGUGCCUCAAGUCCUCUCUUUUUAGAAUAUUUUAUCUAGUCGUUUUCAUGCUAAUUUUCAAAGUCAAGAGAAAUGACAUAGCAUAGAGGUUAAGGGCACAGAUUCUGGGGCUGGACUGCCUGGGUUAAUUUCCUGGCCUGGUUGGUGUCACUUAGUUGCUGAAUAAUCCCACUUUCUCCCUUUAACUCACAAAGAAUGAACAUUCCCCGCCUCACAUUGUUAUUGUGUGAAUGUUGGGAACAAAUACACUGGAAAAUGGCUAAAAGAGGGUCUCUAUAGAAGGCAAUAUUGAAGUAUUAGCUAUUACUGCACCUUGACACAUGGUAGGAUAUGUAGUUUUACCAUUUGGAUGCAUCGAUAGGGCUUGUACUUCACAAUCUCUCAGUCUCUUGUUUAAGUUUUAAAGCACGUAGGGUUUAUGUGGUGUUGAAGAAGUUGCUGUGACUCUUGGGAGAAUCUCUGCCUUCAGGGAAGUUGGGCAGAGAGAUCCCUCUAGGCACAACUGCAGAAUGCACUGGGUCAGGGCUGCCACUGUGGCGCCGCGGGUAAAGCCUCUGCUUGUAAUGCCAGCAUCCCAUAUGGGUACUGGUUCAUGUCCUGGCUGCUCCACUUCUGAUCCAGCUCCCUGACAAUGGUCUGGGAAAAGCAGCAGAACAUGGCCCAAGUGCUUGGGCCCCUGCCACCAACAACAAGGACCUGGAUGGAGCUCUUGGCUCCUGGUUUCAGCCUGGCCCAGCCCUGGCCAUUGCAGCCACUUGGGGAGUGAACCAGUAGAUGGAAGAUCUUUCUCUCUCUCUCUCUCUCUCUCUCUUUCUGUAACUGACUUUCAAAUAAGUAAGUCUUUUUUAAAAAAUGCAUUAAGCCCAUUUCUUCAUUCAACAAAUAUUUUCUGAGCACCGGCUGUGUGCCCAGAGCUGCUUCAGUACUAGGAAUACAGUGGCAGAAAGCACAAACCAAAUCUCUACUCUUGUGGACCUUGUGAGAGAGGUAGAAGUAAACAGGUAAACAGGCAGACCCAUACCUAGCAUAAUUUCAGUGCUAUGAAGAAAUUGCAGAACAAGGGGUAGGAGAUACCGGAGCUUGGUGGGAGUCCCUGUUGUAGAAAAAUGAGGCAUUGAGAGGAAGCUGUCCCGAGGAACUACAAAGAUACAAUCCAGGGAUUGCACUGUUCCAGGCUGGAGGGACCACAAAAUGAACAGAGCAUGGGCUGAGCAACACCAAGCCCAGGAAGACAAGAGAGGACCCAGAGGGUCUUGGAGAGAAUGAUGAGCGUGGCUUGGCAGAGCAAAGGUGGAAGACAGUUCUUUGCUCUGUUGGUGGGACUCAGAGAAGGGACUUGGAGAGGAGCAGGACUACUCAUGCAGUCGUGGUGCCUCGUGGGGGUUGUGUGAGAAUCCUACAGUUUACUUCUGAGGGCCCAGCUCCGCCAGUUUCUCCAGCUGGUGCCGUGUCAAGCUCAUCCCCUUCCCCUCUCCCUCUCAGGACUGGGAAGCUGGAGCAGGUGCAAUGAGGCCAGCAGAGAGCCCAAGAGAAAAUGGGAUUUUAAAGUUGUUAGGGCAUUUUGGCAUUCAGUUCCCCGAGAUGAACAGAGUGUCUUGUCUGGUAAUUGCAAUUAAUGGCUCUGCUAUUCAAGCAUAUCCGUCAAUAAAUCUCCUCUAAUAACCGAUUGGGCACAGUCGUUGCCAUAGUUAUGUCUCUAAAUUGAGCCCAGGGUAGUUGGCCAUGACACUGACCUUACCAGGGUCAGGGCUGCUUCCUGACUGUAUGACUCCAUAUCCCAGGAAUUAAAGCCACCCUCCAAAGGACUGGCUUCGAGCCAACUGAAAGACAAGCUCAGCCCUCAGCUUUACUGCCUGGAGAUUUCCUGUAAAUCUCUCAAAUGUGGAAUAAAAACGUUCGAAACCCCAUAACGUCGAUGGUUGUAGUGAUUUUGUGCAAUCUACUUUUGUGCCACGCUGGGCACGUUGUCAGUCGGGAGACCCCACAUCAGAUAGGCGAUCGUUGGGUUAUUCACACCAGCCUUAUCUUAGCCUCCUUGCCGAUGAGGUCAGUCUCUCACCCUCACUGUGGAGUCGUUUUCUUCAAUUCUCCCUUUCUAAGAGAAUUCCUUCCUCCACCCAAGUACGGUCUCGAGAAGCCCAUCUGUGUCUUAACCCCACCUCUCCGCUCUCCCGCAAGUCAUUGCUCGGCAACCACCAUACUCGCUUGUUCCAUUCUGGGGUCGGUUUGCCGAAGCUCCAGUCAUUGCUGGAGCUCACAUUUGGAGAGUGGCUCUGCCCCUGGUCCUUCCUCUUACGACUCACCUGCAUCCUUGGCAGAUCCUGGAUUUCUAGAAUGCCAUCUCAGAACCGAGCCUGGAAGAGCUAAUGAGGUGGGGGUAUUUUUAAAUGUGUCUAUUUAUAUGUUUGAGAUGAUUGCAGGUAAUUACACAGAAGGCGGAAGAAGGGACUGGAGGCAAAACUGCUCAGUAAAAUAGUUUUUCUUAAAGUCCUAUCUGUGUACAAUCUCUCUAAAAAAUUGCAAAAAACAAAACAAAACAAAACAAAAAAAACCACCCACAAAAACCCGAAACCAACCAAACAAAAAACCCAACUGGCAUGACAAAGCUACUUUAUUUUUCUCUCUGUGGCUGGACCUACACUUGACUUAAGCUUUCCAAAC